This 305-nucleotide ribosomal RNA is filed under the name uncultured bacterium. RNAcentral describes it as "bacterial SSU rRNA". It matches the Rfam family "Bacterial small subunit ribosomal RNA", at positions 334 to 654 of the family's 1533-position model. The record is from RNAcentral.
GUCUCCUACGGGGCGCAGCAGUGGGGAAUAUUGGGCAAUGGGCGCAAGCCUGACCCAGCAACGCCGCGUGAAGGAAGAAGGCUUUCGGGUUGUAAACUUCUUUUAAGAGGGAAGAGCAGAAGACGGUACCUCUUGAAUAAGCCACGGCUAACUACGUGCCAGCAGCCGCGGUAAUACGUAGGUGGCAAGCGUUGUCCGGAUUUACUGGGUGUAAAGGGCGUGCAGCCGGGCUGACAAGUCAGAUGUGAAAUCCCGCGGCUCUACCGCGGAACUGCAUUUGAAACUGUUAGUCUUGAGUACCGGAG